Molecule: transfer RNA, 54 nt
Filed under: Oxyrrhis marina
Lineage: Eukaryota; Dinophyceae; Oxyrrhinales; Oxyrrhinaceae
Source: RNAcentral
GGCCCAGUGGUAGCACGCCAGGCUCAUAUCCUGGAGGGCGCAAGUUCGAGCCCG